Molecule: transfer RNA, 77 nt
Filed under: Defluviimonas salinarum
Lineage: Bacteria; Pseudomonadati; Pseudomonadota; Alphaproteobacteria; Rhodobacterales; Paracoccaceae
Description: tRNA-Asp
Rfam family: tRNA
About the family: Transfer RNA (tRNA) molecules are approximately 80 nucleotides in length. Their secondary structure includes four short double-helical elements and three loops (D, anti-codon, and T loops).
Source: RNAcentral
GGAGUUGUAGCUCAGAUGGUUAGAGCGCCGGCCUGUCACGCCGGAGGCCGCGGGUUCAAGUCCCGUCAACUUCGCCA